UCCGUAGGCGGGCUAAUAAGUCAGGGGUGAAAUCCCACAGCUUAACUGUGGAACUGCCUUUGAUACUGUUAGUCUUGAGUUAUAUGGAAGUAGAUAGAAUGUGUAGUGUAGCGGUGAAAUGCAUAGAUAUUACACAGAAUACCGAUUGCGAAGGCAGUCUACUACGUAUAUACUGACGCUAAUGGACGAAAGCGUGGGGAGCGAACAGGAUUAGAUACCCUGGUAUCC
This 228-nucleotide ribosomal RNA is filed under the name uncultured bacterium. RNAcentral describes it as "partial 16S ribosomal RNA". It matches the Rfam family "Bacterial small subunit ribosomal RNA", at positions 568 to 795 of the family's 1533-position model. The record is from RNAcentral.